This 589-nucleotide ribosomal RNA is filed under the name uncultured fungus. RNAcentral describes it as "eukaryotic LSU rRNA". The stretch from base 221 to 374 matches the Rfam family "5.8S ribosomal RNA". Lineage: Eukaryota; Fungi. The record is from RNAcentral.
CUUGGUCAUUUAGAGGAAGUAAAAGUCGUAACAAGGUCUCCGUUGGUGAACCAGCGGAGGGAUCAUUACCAGAGCUCUCUCGCGAGACUCCCAAACCAUUGUGAACCUUACCCCCGUACGCGUUGCUUCGGCGGGCCGUCCCCCCGGGGCGCCCGCCGGCGGCCGACCGAAACUCUUGACAUCCCAGUGGACUCUCUGAGAAAACAAGCCAAUAAGUUAAAACUUUCAACAACGGAUCUCUUGGUUCUGGCAUCGAUGAAGAACGCAGCGAAAUGCGAAAAGUAAUGUGAAUUGCAGAAUUCAGUGAACCAUCGAAUCUUUGAACGCACAUUGCGCCCGCCAGUAUUCUGGCGGGCAUGCCUGUCCGAGCGUCAUUUCAACCCUCAAGCCCCGCUUGGUGUUGGGGUCCUACGGCUGCCGUAGGCCCUGAAAGCUAGUGGCGGGCUCGCUACCACUCCGAGCGCAGUAACGCAUCUCGCUAGGGACGUGUGUGGCGGGUUCCGGCCGUGAAACCCCCCCAUUUUCACAAGGUUGACCUCGGAUCAGGUAGGAAUACCCGCUGAACUUAAGCAUAUCAAUAAGCGGAGGA